CCUACGGGUGGCAGCAGUGGGGAAUAUUGCACAAUGGGGGAAACCCUGAUGCAGCGACGCCGCGUGAGUGAAGAAGUAAUUCGUUAUGUAAAGCUCUAUCAGCAGGGAAGAAAAUGACGGUACCCGAGUAAGAAGCCCCGGCUAACGACGUGCCAGCAGCCGCGGUAAUACGUAGGGGGCAAGCGUUAUCCGGAUUUACUGGGUGUAAAGGGAGCGUAGACGGCAGUGCAAGUAUGAAGUGAAAGGCGGGGGCUCAACCCCCGGACUGCUCUGGAAACUGUACGGCUGGAGUGCAGGAGAGGUAAGUGGAAUUCCUAGUGUAGCGGUGAAAUGCGUAGAUAUUAGGAGGAACACCAGUGGCGAAGGCGGCUUACUGGACUGUAACUGACGUUGAGGCUCGAAAGCGUGGGGAGCGAACAGGAUUAGAUACCCUGGUAGUC
This 440-nucleotide ribosomal RNA is filed under the name uncultured bacterium. RNAcentral's name for it is "partial 16S ribosomal RNA". It matches the Rfam family "Bacterial small subunit ribosomal RNA", at positions 338 to 795 of the family's 1533-position model. The record is from RNAcentral.